Molecule: ribosomal RNA, 253 nt
Filed under: uncultured bacterium
Lineage: Bacteria
Description: partial 16S ribosomal RNA
Rfam family: Bacterial small subunit ribosomal RNA
Source: RNAcentral
UACGGGGGGGGCAAGCGUUGUUCGGAAUUACUGGGCGUAAAGGGCUCGUAGGCGGCCAACUAAGUCCGACGUGAAAUCCCCAGGCUUAACCUGGGAACUGCGUCGGAUACUGGAUGGCUUGAAUCCGGGAGAGGGAGGCGGAAUUCCAGGUGUAGCGGUGAAAUGCGUAGAUAUCUGGAGGAACACCGGUGGCGAAGGCGGCAUCCUGGACCGGCAUUGACGCUGAGGAGCGAAAGCCAGGGGAGCAAACGGG